This 25-nucleotide non-coding RNA is filed under the name Mus musculus (house mouse). The record is from RNAcentral. Lineage: Eukaryota; Metazoa; Chordata; Mammalia; Rodentia; Muridae.
UGUGCUAUGUCACUGUCUUGUGUGU